Molecule: ribosomal RNA, 145 nt
Filed under: uncultured bacterium
Lineage: Bacteria
Description: partial 16S ribosomal RNA
Rfam family: Bacterial small subunit ribosomal RNA
Source: RNAcentral
CCUACGGGAGGCAGCACUAGGGAAUCUUUCCCAAUGGACGAAAGUCUGAUGGAGCAACGCCGCGUGAGUGAAGAAGGUUUUCGGAUCGUAAAACUCUGUUGUGGAGAAGAAUGUAUCUGAUAGUAACUGAUCAGGUAGUGACGGU